This 238-nucleotide ribosomal RNA is filed under the name uncultured bacterium. RNAcentral's name for it is "partial 16S ribosomal RNA". It matches the Rfam family "Bacterial small subunit ribosomal RNA", at positions 96 to 334 of the family's 1533-position model. The record is from RNAcentral.
CGGCGGACGGGUGAGUAACGCGUGGGUAACCUGCCUCAUACAGGGGGAUAACAGUUGGAAACGGCCGCUAAUACCGCAUAAGCGCACAGUACCGCAUGGUACCGUGUGAAAAACUCCGGUGGUAUGAGAUGGACCCGCGUCUGAUUAGGUAGUUGGUGGGGUAACGGCCUACCAAGCCGACGAUCAGUAGCCGACCUGAGAGGGUGACCGGCCACAUUGGGACUGAGACAUGGCCCAA